Molecule: ribosomal RNA, 777 nt
Filed under: uncultured soil bacterium
Lineage: Bacteria
Description: bacterial SSU rRNA
Rfam family: Bacterial small subunit ribosomal RNA
Source: RNAcentral
AGAGUUUGAUCAUGGCUCAGGACGAACGCUUGCGGCGUGCCUAAGAAAUGCAAGUCGAACGGAUGGCUUCGGCCAUUAGUGGCGAACGGUCGCGUAACACGUAGGCAACCUGCCCAGAAGUGGGGGACAACAGCCUGAAAGGGCUGCUAAUACCGCAUGUGGUUGUUUGAAGGCAUCUUUAAACAACUAAAGCUUAAUGCGCUUCUGGAUGGGCUUGCGGCCUAUCAGGUAGUUGGUGAGGUAAAGGCUCACCAAGCCGACGACGGGUAGCUGGUCUGAGAGGAUGGUCAGCCACAUUGGAACUGAGACACUGUCCAGACUCCUACGGGAGGCUGCAGUCGAGAAUCUUGGGCAAUGCACGAAAGUGUGACCCAGCGACGCCGCGUGAAGGAUGAAGGCCCUCUGGGUCGUAAACUUCUUUUAUGGGGAAAGAAAAGCUCGCAAGAGCCUUGACGGUACCCCAUGAAUAAGCCACGGCUAACUACGUGCCAGCAGCCGCGGUAAUACGUAGGUGGCAAGCGUUGUCCGGAUUUACUGGGCGUAAAGCGUAUGCAGGCGGAUGGUUAAGUCCAAGGUGAAAGGUAGGAGCUCAACUCCUACACUGCCUCGGAUACUGGCCGUCUUGAGUAGCGGAGAGGAAGAUGGAACAAGUUGUGUAGCGGUGAAAUGCGUUGAUAUAACUUGGAACACCAAUGGCGAAAGCAAUCUUCUGGACGCAAACUGACGCUGAGAUACGAAAGCUAAGGUAGCAAACAGGAUUAGAUACCCUGGUAGUCC